UCACUUUUAAUUAAUUUCCUAAAAUGUCCCUGCCAGUAUCUUUCCCUAACCCAAAAAUUAGAAAAUAAAGUUUCAUAUUUCAAAGCAAACUCCUUGCUCCAUUCAAUUUUAUUAUGCAAAAAUCCCCAUAUUUUACAACAACAAUAAUAAUAUAUAACUAUCUAGGGUUUUUCUUCUUCCUAAAUACCGCUAGCCCUAUUCCAUGAAAAUAAAUAACCCUAAUAUUUUUCCCUUCAAUUUCAAGGCUUCAGGGUUUUGAUUCUCUUCUAUUUUUUAGACGAUUGGCUUUGAAUUGUUUUUUUUUUUGCUUCGUUGCAAAGAUUGCUUCUUCUUUUUUUUUUGAAUAUUCCCGGAAGUUUUAGCGACUUGGUCUUUGUUUUCCGAUAAAGUGAUGGCUACUACGGGAGUAGAGGAGGUGGAAUACGAGAGUGAUCCAGAGGAGGUGAAGCGUUCUCUGGCAAUGCGGAGGAGGGAGGCGGCCAGUGACGAUGACGAAGGAGAAAGGGACGAAGAGAAUAAUGCUGAGGCGAGGAUGGAUCGAAGGUCUGUGAUUCGUUCCGAUGAAUCCGACGGUCAGGGCGGUGCUGCAGAUUACGAUGAUGGCGUAGAAGAAUUGGACUUAGAAGAAGUCGAAGAAGAAGUUUAUGAUGAAUACGAGGAAGAGGAAGAAGAAAUUGAUGAAGAGGAGAUAGAUGAAGUUGGUAAAGUAGAAGUGCGAGGCAAUGUGAAGAUAACUGGAGACGAUGUGAAGGAAGCGGUUGUGGAGAAUGGGAAUGUGGAUGAAGGACUGGGCAUUGAUAAUAAUCACAUUGGAGAGGAACAUGGAGAGGAAAAGAAGGAGAAUGAGCCCUUUGCUGUGCCCACUGCUGGGGUGUUUUAUAUGCACGAUGAUAGAUUUCGAGACAACGUUGGCGGUCGUCAUAGGCGAACACGUUGUGGAAGGAAUUUGUGGGAAUCCAAGGAUGAUAGGAAAUGGGGACAUGACAAGUUUGAGGAGAUGACUUUGCAAGAAAAGCAUUAUGAAGAGGGACUAUCUUCUAGAGGUAGGUAUCGAGCUCAGAGUAAAAAUCGUGGACCAGAUCGUGGUUAUCGUAGAGGAAGUGGGUCCAAAGCAUUUGGGAAAAACAACCACCAGAAUAUGGCUCCAAAGGUGGUGAGAGGGAGAGGACCUAGGAGGUAUGAACCUAAUAUGAAAAUCAGCAGUCAAGCACCUCCAAUACAGGGCAGACUGUCUGGAAAGCCUCUUGAGAAAACAUCACAAGCCAAUUCAGGUAGAGCUUCCACCCUUGCAACAAAUGCCAGUACUGUAUCAGAUCCUAAUCCGAAACAUAUAUUUGCGUCAAGCUUGAGUUCUGCUUCCCCACCUUUUUAUCCAGCGGCGUCUUCCAACAAAGACACUGCUUUAACUCAGAAGAAAGAUGUGCAUGCUGAAAGUGUGAGCGGGAAUCUUUGCCCUUCUGUUACAGAUGAGAAUUUUUCUGCUUCACAAUCUAAUUCAUUACGAGGGAAGAAUGUGGUUGAUUCUCUCAGCAUGGCAAAGCUUUAUAUUGAUGAUCCCAGCUUGUCUGCUUCUGCGAAGCCUUUGACCAAUAUGCAGAUGGUACCUUCUGGAUCUUCAUUGGGUAAUACUAGCAAACCCACUCAGUCCAGGGUACAGGGUAGAGUUGUAGCUAUCCCAGGAUUGAAGGCUUGUCAGCCAGCUCCUCAUCAGAACCAAAUCAAUAGAGUUUCUCCACCAACACAGAUCAUUGCUGUUCAGAGAAAUCCUGUUCAAGGGUACUCUGUGCAAGGGGCUGCUCAGCAGCUGGGCCAGCAUACUGGUAUGCCUCAAGCUUCGUCUCCACCCAAGACAGCUACGUCAGUCAAUUCCUAUGAAUCUGGAGAGGUUGAAUCUUCAGAAACAAGUAAACCCUUGGUGAGCAAGGGAAAAAGCUGUGUUCAAGGGGCUGGAAGAGGCUCUUUUCUGUACAGUGGAGCUCAGGUUAUGGGACCAACAGGGACUAUGGCUGUCGGCCAUGGUGAUAAAAACUUUCCUGCCUUUUUGCCAGUUAUGCAAUUUGGGGGUCAGCACCCUGGUGGCCUCAGUGUUCCUGCUGUUGGCAUGGCAUUUCCUGGAUAUGUUGCCCAGCCACAACUUGGUUUGGGAAAUUCAGAAAUGACGUGGUUACCAGUACUUACAAGUGCCGCUGGGGCUUUAGGGGCAACAUAUUGUUCACCUUAUAUCACUGUUGAUGGGGCUUAUCAUGCUCGUACCUCUGGACAGACAUCUUCAACAGGAUCCUCAAGCAAAGAAAAAAAUUCGAACAAACCAAAUAGUGAAUGGAAGCCAUCACAAAGACCUGAGGCUGUGAGUGAUGAAUUUGGGCAACGACAAAAUAACCCAAAUAAGCAGCCUCGCAGAUACUCCGAGAUGAGCUUUAGCAAGUGAUUUACUCAUUUAAGAUGGAGCCUGUAGCAAUAAACUGAUAAAGGCCUUUCUUUCGGGCCCUUUGUGGUCUCCAGCUUUUGACCUGGACCACUUUGGGCCACAAUUUGUUCCAGGAUAUUGUAGGUAAUCAGACUUCAUCCGUAGUUAUAUAUGAAAUGCCUGGUCAUGCUACAUUCAGUUUAAGAAUCUUAUUGUGGCUUGACGGGUAGCAUUCCCUCGUUUAAAUGUGCGGUUUUUCUUGUGGCUUGAUUUUUCUAGUGAAGCUUGUGAGAAAUUUAGGCUGGCUUCCCCAUGAAAGUAUGAACAAGAAUUGUUGUGCGGCAGCUGUUUGGUUGGCGAAUUUUAGAUUAUUAUUAUUAUAUGCAUAGAUGGUGUUGAUAUUUGUGUUUGGUGAAGCUUACUUGGCUGCUUGUUGAUGAGUUAAGUCUGGUGUUGGUGGAGCAUAGAUGGUUUUGGUAUUUGUGUUUCUUACUUUGUAUUAUUUGAGCAGUGGAUCAUUUAAUUUAAUCAGUUAAAUGGGGGUGCUAAGUUGGUUUUGAAGCAUUAUUUUCAAAGCUUCUCCUUGUUUUUCUGUAUUGAGUUUGGUUGUACAUACGUAACAGGGCAAGCUUAGCUGAUGAUAUCUCUUGGAUGUUGUGAAAUGUGAUUAGCAUUGUAGCAUAUAUAUAUGUAUAGCUUUAGAUUGAGUCAUAAAGUGGUUGAUGAGUGAGUCAUCUGAUCUCUUGUGCUCUCCCUCCUGUAUUGGAUGUGCUUUAAGUAAUCUGCCUUUUUUAAACUUGUUUAACAUAAUUUUAAAAUAUAGAAAUGGUUUAUGUUGACGUUUUGUUCUAUUAAA
Molecule: RNA transcript, 3263 nt
Organism: Gossypium arboreum
Lineage: Eukaryota; Viridiplantae; Streptophyta; Magnoliopsida; Malvales; Malvaceae
Gene name: protein MLN51 homolog
Exons: 12
Source: RefSeq, a predicted model, not a curated record